ACUCCUACGGGAGGCAGCAGUGGGGAAUUUUGGGCAAUGGGCGAAAGCCUGACCCAGCAACGCCGCGUGAAGGAUGAAAUCCCUCGGGAUGUAAACUUCGCAAGAACGGGAAGAAUAAGUAGGGGACAAUACCCCCUAUGAUGACGGUACCGUUUGUAAGCUCCGCCUAGCUCCGUGCCAGCAGCCGCGGUAAUACGGGGGGAGCAAGCGUUGUUCGGAUUUACUGGGCGUAAAGGGCGCGUAGGCGGUCAGCACAAGUCAAUUGUGAAAUCUCCGAGCUUAACUCGGAAAGGUCAACUGAAACUGUGCGACUAGAGUGCGGAAGGGGCAACUGGAAUUCUUGGUGUAGCGGUGGAAUGCGUAGAUAUCAAGAGGAACACCUGCGGCGAAGGCGGGUUGCUGGGCCGACACUGACGCUGAAGCGCGAAAGCCAGGGGAGCGAACGGGAUUAGAUACCCCGGUAGUCCUGGCCUUAAACGAUGAAUGCUUGGUGUCUGGGGUUAUAAAGUCCCCGGGUGCCGUCGCUAACGCUUUAAGCAUUCCGCCUGGGGAGUACGGUCGCAAGACUGAAACUCAAAGGAAUUGACGGGGACCCGCACAAGCGGUGGAGCAUGUGGUUUAAUUCGACGCAACGCGAAGAACCUUACCUGGGCUAGAAUGCCUCUGACAACCCUAGAGAUAGGGCCUCCAAGGUAAAACUUGGCAGAGUGCAAGGUGCUGCAUGGCUGUCGUCAGCUCGUGUCGUGAGAUGUUGGGUUAAGUCCCGCAACGAGCGCAACCCUUAUCUUUAGUUGCCAGCAUUAAGUUGGGCACUCUAGAGAGACUGCCGUUGACAAAACGGAGGAAGGUGGGGAUGACGUCAAGUCCUCAUGGCCUUUAUGUCCAGGGCUACACACGUGCUACAAUGGCCGGUACAGACCGCCGCAAACUCGCAAGAGGGAGCCAAUCGGAAAAAGCCGGUCUCAGUUCGGAUUGGAGUCUGCAACUCGACUCCAUGAAGUUGGAAUCGCUAGUAA
RNAcentral lists this ribosomal RNA (1016 nucleotides) under uncultured bacterium. RNAcentral's name for it is "bacterial SSU rRNA". It matches the Rfam family "Bacterial small subunit ribosomal RNA", at positions 335 to 1341 of the family's 1533-position model. The record is from RNAcentral.